RNAcentral lists this long non-coding RNA (270 nucleotides) under Nicotiana benthamiana. Its description in RNAcentral is "long non-coding RNA (NBEN_LNC005738)". Lineage: Eukaryota; Viridiplantae; Streptophyta; Magnoliopsida; Solanales; Solanaceae. The record is from RNAcentral.
CAUGGCAGAAAAAGUACAAGAAAUAAAGAAAGUUUUCUUUUUAUCUACAAAAGUGGCGGCAGUAAUGAAAAGAUGAAGAAGGGACUAGUGUCCUUUCAUUAGAUAAAAUAAAUAUUGGAGCUUUAUGCUCCAUGAAUUGCUGGCGGCGAUCUUAAAAAGGAAAAGAAGAGAAUUAGGUUUCCUUCUUUAAUCAAAUAUUCUUUCUUAAAUUCUAAAAAUAAAUAAAUGGGAAAGGAAUGGAGAACAAUGGAGCUUUGUGCUCCAGCAAAG